UGAUGGACCUUAGGCAUCACUGAAGGGCAGGAGGCCCUCCUUAUGUGCUUUUAUCACUUGGUGAUCUCAGGAGAGACUGGCCAGCAUGAAUGGCCGUGAUGAGCAGCACACCCUGCUGCCUGUCACAGUCACAGGUUAAUCAGGGUAUGGGAAUUUGUGAGAACAUUAAUAAAUACAGAUCACUCUCUAGAGGGCUGCAAUACAUUAUUUUAGCUCUCAACAAUAACAGACCUUAUUAUCUUUCAGGGAGAAGCUCCUGUCAGGGCAAUCAAGGAUGGACACUUUUAAUGAAGACAAAUGAUCUCCUUCAAAGGAGCGGUGAGCCUUGAUUUGGCUUAAUGGCUCACUAGUACGAAGCAUGGAUUUAAUCAGCGCUCCAGCUUCUGUCACGCAUGGGCCUUGAAGUCAGGAUUUCGAAUGGGAAAGAAUGAAUUUAGGAGCAAAUCAGUAAAAUGAUGGUCAAACUUUUCAGGAGCAAUUAAUAAAGCUACACCAUAGAUCUGGCUACAACUGAGAGUCCAGAAUGUGGAUACAUAUUGAAGGAUGCUGAAAAGGGACCUUUCAGACUUUGCAGCCACUGGCCAUUGUCAGCACCCAUCGUGCUAGGACUCUGCAAGCCCUUGCCUCAUGUUCAUGCAAGCACAGAACUACGCACAGAAGGGCCCUUGCUGAGAGCUGGUCUGGUGAGUGGGUGUUUGC
This is a long non-coding RNA of Prinia subflava (tawny-flanked prinia), 699 nucleotides long. RefSeq lists it as uncharacterized. The transcript is spliced from 3 exons. Lineage: Eukaryota; Metazoa; Chordata; Aves; Passeriformes; Cisticolidae. The record is from RefSeq and is a predicted model, not a curated record.